AGGUUGCAGAAGCAUUUCUCACCACUGAUGCUGCUGGGCGAAAGAAAUGAACGUGAUUGAUUAUGACUUUGAUACACCUGAGGAACAGAGAAAAUUCAGUAAACAUCUCUGUGUUUCUGUCUGUCAACAGGAUAGAGGAAUGAAGGGAGUCCAAAUGUCAGUGUGCAUGACUUUUUCUGUUUGGAUGGAUGGGACUUCUGAUCUGACACACCUGUUCCAGUAUCCUGACAUGAUGAGUGCCAGCUCUGAAGUGAAAGGAUACAGGAACAGGCUGUAUCUAACUGUGACUACACAGUGUUGAAAACUGAAUCGUUAAUACAGUAAAGUUGUGAGUGAACUCAUCUCCCCACCACCACUUCUGCAUCUCCCAGACUCAGAGCUCUCUUUUUGCCUUUGCUGAAAGCAAAAACAGGGACUCUCAGAGAGCUCUUCUAGACAGUGAGGGCACUGUAGCACAUGAAGGAGCACACUGAAUGCUGAACUUUGGUGUAACUGAGGCUUGGGAAGUUGCCUGAGGCUAUGCAACAGCAGCAGCAGUGGGCCAGAAAGCUGCAAAUGGGUUGUUACAAGGAUAAGGAGCUAGAGAAAUCUUGUAAGACCUCAAAAAUAGCUGCAAUGGGAGGGAAAGAAAAAUGAUUUGUAAGGUGUUGGCUGCGGACAAUGUUGCUGGUCUGUUUGUUUUUAAUCUAAUUAUAACGUGUAAUUAUGCCCAAGGAACCUUGAAGCUUGCAUUUUUAAAGCUUGAAGUUGUAUAGCCUUACAGGGAGCUUGAGCUUGGUACUUACCAAGCCAGGAGUUUCCUCUUGGGCUUGCAACAGAGACGGUGAGUCUUCAGGAAAGCUUUCUCCGUGUUUUACCCUCUCCAUCUUGUUUUAACUGAAAUAUAUCUUAGUUGUUACUAAGCAUGGCUAUGCUAGCCUUGCUUAGACCAAAUAAGGUUGGAUUAGGCAAUUUUGGCCUAGCUAUAUGCUCAUGCUCCAAUGUUUUCAUGUUAGCUAGUUUUCCCCCUAUUUAUUUAGUUAGUUUCUUAUAGUCGCUCCAUAAGUUCUGAUAAUUAGACAAUCUUAUGGACUUUGAACUUUUGUUGAAAGCAUGCUUCUACUAGCACAGCCUCACUGUUUGCAGGAAGCCAAAUCUGAGGGCAGAAAAUGUGAAUCAAGUUUAUGCACAAAAUCCUUUUAAAAUUACUUACAUUUUAAUGUUUCUCCUCAAAUGCUAUUGUUUUUGUUGUUUUCAACAAACCCGCAUUUGAAAAUAAGAGUAAAAAUAACAGAUGACUUAGGGUACAUUUUUAAGUGAACAAAAAUCCUGCUUUGGAAUUUGUUCACAUGUGCUAUCCUUCCACUCAGCUUUUAUGGGAAUACAGAAUAUAUCUAUACAGGAAAAUCACAGUGCAAAUUUCCAGCUAUUACCUCGCUCACCUGGGAAUGAGAAAUAUCUCAGCUGCACCUAAUGACAUAAAUAGGGUGGAAAUGGGAAUUACUCUACUGCUUUACAGCAGAGUAGAAGAUCUCAAGGAGGUUCUUUACACAGUAGGGCCCAUAAUCAAGUCUUUUUUCUGCGUAAUCAAGAGAGCGGUUAAACAGCUGAGAGUCAUAAAAGAACAGGAAGAAUUUUAAGAUGCAGAGAAAUUAAAUUUGCUCCAGUUUUCAAAGGAUUAAUCCAGCCCUCAUCUCUCCUUUGACAUCUCUUGGCUACAUCCAAAUAGUCGUCUGCCUGUUCUUCCUCCACAAAAUAUGAAGGGAUGUUACUUGGGCUACCUCAUUCCCUGCCGGUUGCUAAUGGAAAAUAGUACUGCUGUGCAGGGAGACUUGUUUUAUAGGUGUUUUUCUUCUAUCUGGUUUUACAGUUCUCUACCGCCACUGUUCAGCAUUCCCUGGAUUGCUCUGCCGUUCUCUGGCCAUCCAUAUAUGUUUUGCAAACUGAGUGACACAAAGGCCUCUAAAAAAGGAAACACCUCUCACGAAACACUUUGCACUGUUCAUUGCUAUUUCUCUUAAGACAGGAGAACGGUUGCCUCCUAUCACCCUUAAGUUCCAUUUAAAAGCUGGUCAAUCCUACUGGAUACACCAGCCUUCCACUGCUCAGUCCUGGUGCCCGCAUAAGGACAGCUUUACAAAAUGAGUACUCCCUUUUCCCCUGCUAGGGCUUGACACACACUUGUAAGAUUAACAGCUAUGGAAUCUAGUGUUGUUUUAUUUUGUCGUCAGUUUUCAGUGAUAUCAUAGUCUUUUCAUUCCAGCACCUUUCACUUCCCAGUCCUUAAACUAAUACACUGAUCCCUAUUACUAAACAAACCAGACUAUAUCACCACCUUUUAAGCUGAGAUGUAGUUUUUCCUCUGUCCUCCUCCUUGUACAUACACUAGGCUGUGCAUAAACAGCAAAGCACAAGAACUUUACAGCAAGCAGUUCCAAGUCUAACUAGGGCCUAGAGUAGUGCCUACCUGAUAGCUGUGUAUAAUUUGAAGAACACUAACUGCAGAAUUUGCAAGUAUUUGAUUUAAAGAAUCUUAUAUUUUUAUUAGUUUUGCAGACUGACCAAAUAUGUUGUACUAUGGUUGAUUUUAUUGUGUAGCUACAUGGCUCUAUGCCCAUUGACUUCAAGCAAUUACAGCACUACUGCUGGAUCACAACAGUGCUAGACUGAAAGAACCACAGUAUGAAAUUUGCAACUACAGUUUAAUCUACUUUAAAAAUAUGAAAUCUAGUAUAGUUAAUAUGCCUAUCUUAAACUAAAAACUUUACCUGGAGAAAAUAAGUAGGUAUUUUUCAGUGCUCUGAUACUGACCUUAUUUUGAAUCAAUAACUCUCUGAUUAUUUUGCACAAAAACAACCAACCAAAAAAAAAAAAAACCAACACAAAACUCCGCUUAACUUAGUAGCAAUGGAGAAACGCAAGUCCAAAGAGAAAAAGCUCUGCCUCAAAUCUGAAGAACAGAAUUGAGAAUCCAUUCUUUUUUCCCCCACCUCUCAACAGAAGUCUGGGCUAGAAUUCUCUCUCUUAUACUUUAUUUAAAGGCCUCUCUGCUCUAUUUGUUUUUCUAGCAUACUGUCCGUAUGGUAAAAACUGUGUGGAAAAAAUAUAGAGAAGAAAGAAUUUGAACAUUACAGGGAAAGGUAUUUGAAAAAAAAAAAAAAUAACAUCUACACAAAACACGAUACAGUUGUGCUGUCUGUUGGGAUUUACCCAUGACUGUCCUUAGAGCCAAGAAAUACCAGAAGAGAGAUACUAUAGCUGGUAUUUGAAAAACUUCACGUACUCUCAGAAAGAUGCAUAUGAAAACAAUGAAAUUGGAAGCUUUUUUUUUUUUUUUUUUUUUAAAUAGGAAGCAGAUUGCCAUUUGGAAAAAUUGCAGUGAGGUUAUUCCAUGUUUCAAUUUCUCUUUGGGUGAUGGGAGGAAAAGUUCACCUUGAAAACCAGAGAGUUUUACAGCAGAAACAGAAGACAGCAGAAAGAACUGAUGUGACAGCUCAGUCUAACAGAAACAAACCCGCCUAUUCCCCUCAGAAACUGCUAGUAAGACAUAAUGCAGUGUCUGCCAGUGAACUGAAUCACUUUAACAUGACUCUCACAUGUCAUUUAUUAAGCUAAAUAGACAUAAAACUGCAAAUAUCAAAUUGCCUCUAUGUGGUAAUACACAAAAAUGAGAAUUAAAUGCAACUUCCCAUCCUGCUCCUGCCUUACAAAUAUUUAUCAGCCAAGAGAAUGAUCUACAAAAGCUUUUUUUUUUUUCAUUCUGCAAAUAUCACAAUAAGACAUUAACCCUUUUAUCACAACAUGCGCAAUAUGCCUUACUAGUACAAUUUCUUCUCUGAAAGAAGAAAGGGCCACAUAACUUUCUCUGCCCAGAUACAACACUGUAUGACAAAAGCCUGGAGGGACUGGGGAUACCCCUUAUCAACACCAUUUUUUUGAGGCUUACAAUUUAUAUGGGAUUUUUUGUUUUUAUUUUGUUUGGUUUUUUUGCUGUUCUGUUUGUUUGUUAUUUACUAAGUUUCCUGGACAAGGAAUGCAUCGGUUUUAAUAAUGCACAUACUAUUGCAAUAUAUAAUUAUCACUAUGAAUAUUGAAAUCUUAACAGUAAUCUGCAGUUAGAGCAUUUUCAGAAGAUACAAAAUCAAAUAAAAGUGUAAUUUCUCUCAAUAAAGAGUGAUUUAUUAUUACCCAGAUUGUGCAGUAGUCAAUUUUACUCAGUUUUACCCGCAAAAGAUGCUAGUGUCUACCUGUUCAGAACACACGCUCCUG
This 4248-nucleotide long non-coding RNA is filed under the name Gallus gallus (chicken). RNAcentral describes it as "lncRNA (ENSGALG00010004862.1)". Lineage: Eukaryota; Metazoa; Chordata; Aves; Galliformes; Phasianidae. The record is from RNAcentral.